Ruditapes philippinarum (Manila clam) is the source of this 644-nucleotide long non-coding RNA. RefSeq lists it as uncharacterized. The record is from RefSeq and is a predicted model, not a curated record. NCBI's taxonomy places the organism in Eukaryota, Metazoa, Mollusca, Bivalvia, Venerida, Veneridae. The transcript is spliced from 3 exons.
CUUCAAGAAAUUAAUUCAUACGAGAUCAGUAGUCAAUAUCGACAAAAAAACUCCGUUUAAUCAUUGCUGAACAAUAUGGCUACCUGCAAUGAUAAAUAUAGAUAUGAGAAUGAGACAAUAUCUCCUCAGCUGCUUGGUCAAUUUCAAUAGGAUAAAACACAUAGUGAAAACCAUACCGUCAGACAAAUUUGCUGCUGGUUGGCGUGUUGUCCAUCAACUGAUAAAAGAUCAUAUUGAAGAAGUCACAAAUUGCCUCUCAUGAAAGUGGGAUAUUUGGACACUGUUACAUGCAAUUGUACUCUGUGAAGCAAUGAAGAAUUUAUGACUGGAUAACUUAAUGAAUGUAUCAUAUCUCUAUCUCUUGGUUAGGGUAUCAUACUUUGUGGAUAUUGUAUCAUUCAGUUUUAUCAUAUAACAAUCAGGCUUUUCAUAAAACUGUAAAGCAUGAUUAUAUAGGAAUGUGUGUGAGAUGAAAAUGAUUCAGUAUAGAAAGGAAAAAGUUGAUAUAUUUAUUAAAACCACUUGUUUGUGACACGGACAGUUACACAUUUAAGUUAGAGAUUUCUACUGUUUACUGAUCUGAAAAUCAGAAUGGAUCAUCAUAUGAUUAAUAUCCGUCCAUCUCAACCACAACCAUUUACUAU